GAUGAAGAACGUAGCGAAAUGCGAUAAGUAAUGUGAAUUGCAGAAUUCAGUGAAUCAUCGAAUCUUUGAACGCACAUUGCGCCCGCCAGUAUUCUGGCGGGCAUGCCUGUUCGAGCGUCAUUUCAACCAUCAAGCCCUGCUUGCGUUGGGGUCCUGCGGCUGCCCGCAGGCCCUGAAAACCAGUGGCGGGCUCGCUAGUCACACCGAGCGCAGUAAUACAUCUCGCUUUGGGCGUGCGGCGGGUUCUUGCCGUUAAACACCCCCUUUUUACCAAGGUUGACCUCGGAUCAGGUAGGAAUACCCGCUGAACUAAAGCAUAUCAAUAAGCGGAGGA
Molecule: unclassified non-coding RNA, 334 nt
Filed under: soil metagenome
Description: partial contains 5.8S ribosomal RNA, internal transcribed spacer 2, and large subunit ribosomal RNA
Rfam family: 5.8S ribosomal RNA (bases 1-120)
Source: RNAcentral